Physeter macrocephalus (sperm whale) is the source of this 1773-nucleotide long non-coding RNA. RefSeq lists it as uncharacterized. Lineage: Eukaryota; Metazoa; Chordata; Mammalia; Artiodactyla; Physeteridae. The transcript has 3 exons. The record is from RefSeq and is a predicted model, not a curated record.
UCUCCCUCGCCUCGUGAGGACACAGGGAGAAGACCUUCGUCUGUAGCUGGGAAGAGGCCUCACCAGGACCCGACGGUGCCGGCUCCCUGAUCUCAGGCCUCCAGCCUCCAGGGCCGAGAGAAAUAAACUUCUGUCGUGGAUAAGCCCCGCAAGUGUGCGGUCUCUGUUACAGCAGUAAGACACGGGGUUAGAGUGUUACUCCCCGUCUUGGAGAGGACGCCUUUGUAACUUUCAAGAACACAGUGAAACCUGUUUCUUAGCCAUCCGCUCCACCCGUCCCAACCUUGUGGUGUGAACUCUCCCUCCCCGCCGGUCACUAUGUCCCUUCAGACGUCUGAUCGGAGACUUUCACCUUCCGCUCCAUGACAUGGUCAAGACUUCCUCUCUGGUUGAUAGUGCUUCUAACCAGGCCCAGGGACCUGAGGUGCACACACGGCGGGUUUCCACGCGGCUUUCCAUCGCACAAGCGCGCAGAGAAUCCCUCCGUCGAGGCAGGAGGCUGUGCACCCCUCCCGGGGGCCCUCUGCACCCGCAGCACCAGGGCCCCGCAGCCAUCAGAGCCUGCGCCCCUCAGCCUCCCCACACAUCCUAACGAGCGCCCGCGGCAACGGGGCCGCCCCGUCCCUCUCUCCGCGGCUCGCUUCAGCGGGAGCCGGACGGAACACCGUGGACCUGGCGGCCCUCACGUUUCAAGACAAAUCAAGCCGCCGACCGGAAGGUAAUUCAGUCAAAAGCCAUGAAGAGUCACAGGUAAAAUACAGGGCGGCCAGUUAACUUUGAUCUUCAGAUAAACAGUGGAUAAUUUGGGAUAUAAGUCUAUAAGUCUAUGCAAUAUUGGGGGCAUACUUAUACUGCAAAAUUAUUCAUUGUUUAUCUGAAACUCAAAUUUAACUGAGCAGCCUCUAUUUUUACAUGUUAAAUCUGGCAACCCCAAAAGGAAGCUGAGGACCCCACCAGUCAGGAGCGACCAGCAGCUGAGCCUGCCCCCCCGGGCUCCCCACCUCCCCUGGGCCCCAUGGGUGAUGCGGUGGGGAUGGUAACAGUACGAGGGCAGGGGCUGAGCACGGAGCCUCCCCCGGCGGGUGGGACAGAUGUCCCUGAGGUCAUCACAGCGAAUCCUCAAGUGCCCGGCCGGAAGAAUUGGACUUCUUUUUCAAAACACCCUAACGGGCUUCCCUGGUAGCACAGUGGUUGAGAAUCCGCCUGCCAAUGCAGGGGAAAACGGGUUCGAGCCCUGGUCCGGGAAGAUCCCACGUGCCCCAGAGCAACUAAGCCCGUGCGCCACAACUACUGAGCCUGUGCUCUAGACCCCGCGUGCCACAACUACUGAAGCCCGCGCGCCUAGAGCCCGUGCUCCGCAACAAGAGAAGCCGCCGCAGUGAGAAGCCCGCGCACCGCAACGAAGAGUAGCCCCCGCUCGCCGCCACUAGAGAAAGCCCGUGCAAGGCAACAGAGACCCAACGCAACCAAAUAAAUAAAUUAAAUUAAAAAAAAAACCAAACACCCUAACUGGCACCCUUGGGGUGGGCCUGGUCCCAGGGAACAGGAAAUGCCUUCACUAGGCUCCUGCCUGCAGGUUUCUGAGACAGGAGCCCUGGUUUGGGUCCAAACAGUGGGUGGGAAACUCCCCCUAGAGGUGUGAUGUGGGGCUGCAAGCUGAGGCUGGUUCCUCACCUUCCAGGCCCCUCAGCCCCCGGCACCGAGGUGACAGAGCUGUCUUCCUGGUCCAGAGGUUGGGACAAGGCCCGAGGAUGGCCGUGGGCGAGCAGGAAC